CCCUAUGCACUAUUCUCUUUAGUACGAAGGGACCAAGGAAAAUAGGACCAAUAUUCAAAACAAGUCCUCACCCUUGCUGAAACAAUAUCAAGCCUCCAGUAUCUCAUUAUCCAAAAACAGGAC
RNAcentral lists this ribosomal RNA (123 nucleotides) under Varanus dumerilii (Dumeril monitor). Its description in RNAcentral is "partial 16S ribosomal RNA". The record is from RNAcentral. Lineage: Eukaryota; Metazoa; Chordata; Lepidosauria; Squamata; Varanidae.